Lagopus muta (rock ptarmigan) is the source of this 621-nucleotide long non-coding RNA. RefSeq lists it as uncharacterized. NCBI's taxonomy places the organism in Eukaryota, Metazoa, Chordata, Aves, Galliformes, Phasianidae. The transcript is spliced from 3 exons. The record is from RefSeq and is a predicted model, not a curated record.
UUAUUUUUUACUUAAAUCUAUUUUUGUUCUUUUGGAGUUCUUGUGACAUAUACGCUAGUCAGAGAUCGGACUGUACUUUUCACAAAUGGUGCAAACAAUUAAUGAUUCCCAUAGACUAUUGUGUUGAUUAGGCUUUCUGAACACCCACAACUUUGAUUCAGCAUGCUGGAAAGGGGCAGGAGUUUAUACAGUUGUUUAUAUUCUACUAUAUUUGACUAAUUUACUACUGACUAAUAUCUAUUAAUAUAUACCUAUAUUUGCUGACUCUAAAGUGUGAAAAAACUCCACACUUUUAAAGCAGAGAAUAUAGUUCUGGAUAAAUAUUAAAUCAUAUCACAUCAAGGAAAAGGCUACAGUCAGACUGCAUACUGGAGCAGUUUGGUAUUCUUCUAAUUCCACCAGAAGACCAGACUGAGCAAUUCACUAGAUACACAUCGUAAGGGAUAUUAAGUCUGGUGAAUGAGAGCACAGGAAAUGAAAUAGCAUGCUCUGGGAAGCUUGUUGAAGAUGCACAUGGACAAGAAUAGCUACCUCAUUCAUGCAGACCAAUGUGCUGUUCUGGGCUGCUGCUUGUCUCCUUGACUUCUUCAAUGUGCGAGACACCUAACAGACUGGCUGGAA